GAGAAAACAUGAGAUAACUCUCUAUAGUAGGAGAUUAAUUAAGUAGCCACUUUAAGGCUAUUAUUACAAAAGGAGGCUGCACUUAGGACAUUUGGAGAUCAAGGCCUAAUGCAACAAUUAAGAUAAGUUUGAGAUGAAGGUAGUGGCUGUUCUUCACCCUCGCAACAUUAGACUCUUGUUGAUUCCGGUCCGACCUUGCCUCGCUAAACUCAGAGCAUCUUUUUUUUUUUUUUUUAAUAUGGCAAAACAAGAAAUAUAAACUUUGUGAUACUAACAUUUUCUUUAAUUAACGCUAUACUAUUUCGGCAAACAGAGACAGAUCCAGGAUUUUACGUCAUUGGAUGCAGAUUCUUUUGUGUUAAGAAUAUAAACUCUGUGUUUGUAUAUGUAUAUAUGAAAAAAAUUCAAGUAUGUAUAUAUGUUCGAGCUUUAA
Lycium barbarum (goji berry) is the source of this 433-nucleotide long non-coding RNA. RefSeq lists it as uncharacterized. NCBI's taxonomy places the organism in Eukaryota, Viridiplantae, Streptophyta, Magnoliopsida, Solanales, Solanaceae. The transcript is spliced from 2 exons. The record is from RefSeq and is a predicted model, not a curated record.